UUAUAUGGUCAAGAAGAGAAGCGCAAACGGUGGAUGCCUUGGCAGUAAGAGGCGAUGAAGGACGUGGAAUCCUGCGAAAAGCUUCGGUGAGCUGGAAACGAGCGAAUAACCGGAGAUGUCCGAAUGGGGGAACCCGGCCAUGAGCAGUCAUGGUCAUCUGCUACUGAAUACAUAGGUAGUAGAGGCGAACUCGGGGAACUGAAACAUCUAAGUACCCGAAGGAAAAGAAAUCAAAAGAGAUUCUCCAAGUAGCGGCGAGCGAACGGGGAAGAGCCUGGUGUGAUUUAUAGUGCAAUGAAGUAGAACAACUUGGGAAGGUUGGCCAUAGAGGGUGAAAGCCCCGUAUAUAUAGGUUGCAUUAAGAACUAAGCACGCGAAGAAGUAGGCCGGGACACGUGUAAUCCUGGUUGAAUAUGGGUGGACCAUCAUCCAAGGCUAAAUACUACUUACUGACCGAUAGUGAACCAGUACCGUGAGGGAAAGGCGAAAAGAACCCCGGAGAGGGGAGUGAAAUAGAACCUGAAACCGUUUGCGUACAAGCAGUGGGAGCACCUUCGAGGUGUGACUGCGUACCUUUUGUAUAAUGGGUCAGCGAGUUACUUUCAGUGGCGAGGUUAACUGAAUAAGGAAGCCGUAGAGAAAUCGAGUCUGAAUAGGGCGCGAGUCGCUGUGAGUAGACCCGAAACCGGGCGAUCUAGUCAUGUGCAGGAUGAAGGUUGGGUAACACCAACUGGAGGUCCGAACCGGGUAAUGUUGAAAAAUUAUCGGAUGACGUGUGACUAGGAGUGAAAGGCUAAUCAAGCCCGGAGAUAGCUGGUUCUCCCCGAAAGCUAUUUAGGUAGCGCCUCGUGAAUGAUUACUGGGGGUAGAGCACUGUUUCGGCUAGGGGGCUGUCAUGGCUUACCAAACCGAUGCAAACUCCGAAUACCGGCUAAUUGAAUCACGGGAGACACACGGCGGGUGCUAACGUCCGUCGUGAAGAGGGAAACAACCCAGACCGCCAGCUAAGGUCCCAAAGUACUAGUUAAGUGGGAAACGAUGUGGGAAGGCAUAGACAGCCAGGAGGUUGGCUUAGAAGCAGCCACCCUUUAAAGAAAGCGUAAUAGCUCACUGGUCGAGUCGGCCUGCGCGGAAGAUGUAACGGGGCUAAAACUAGUCACCGAAGCUGCGGAUGUGCACUAAGUGCACGUGGUAGGGGAGCGUUCUGUAGGCUGAUGAAGGUGGAUUGAGAAGUCUGCUGGAGGUAUCAGAAGUGCGAAUGCUGACAUGAGUAACGAUAAUGAGGGUGAAAAGCCCUCACGCCGGAAGUCCCAGGUUUCCUGCACGACGUUAAUCGGAGCAGGGUGAGUCGGCCCCUAAGGCGAGGCUGAAGAGCGUAGUCGAUGGGAACCAGGUUAAUAUUCCUGGACUUUUUAUAAGUGGUGAAGUGGGGACGAAGAAGGCUAGGUGAGCCAGGCGUUGGUUGUCCUGGUAUGUGCAUAUAGGGGGGUAGACUAGGCAAAUCCGGUUUACUGAUAACCCUGAGGUGCGACAUGGUGCUGACACUUCGGUGUACGGCGAAGUCAUUGAUGCCCGGCUUCCAGGAAAAGCUGCUAGCCAUAACUUAUAGAGAACCGUACCGCAAACCGACACAGGUGGACAGGUAGAGAAUACUAAGGCGCUUGAGAGAACUCGGGUGAAGGAACUAGGCAAAAUGGUACCGUAACUUCGGGAGAAGGUACGCCCUUUUUGGUGAUGGGAUUUACUUUCAGAGCUGAAGAGGGCCGCAGAGACCAGGUGGCUGCGACUGUUUAUUAAAAACACAGCACUCUGCAAAUUCGUAAGAAGACGUAUAGGGUGUGACGCCUGCCCGGUGCCGGAAGGUUAAUUGAUGGGGUUAUCUUCGGAGAAGCUCUUGAUCGAAGCCCCGGUAAACGGCGGCCGUAACUAUAACGGUCCUAAGGUAGCGAAAUUCCUUGUCGGGUAAGUUCCGACCUGCACGAAUGGCGUAACGAUGGCCACACUGUCUCCACCCGAGACUCAGUGAAAUUGAAAUCGCUGUGAAGAUGCAGUGUACCCGCGGCUAGACGGAAAGACCCCGUGAACCUUUACUAUAGUUUUGCACUGGACUUUGAU
Molecule: ribosomal RNA, 2115 nt
Rfam family: Bacterial large subunit ribosomal RNA